RNAcentral lists this ribosomal RNA (468 nucleotides) under uncultured bacterium. Its description in RNAcentral is "partial 16S ribosomal RNA". It matches the Rfam family "Bacterial small subunit ribosomal RNA", at positions 28 to 507 of the family's 1533-position model. The record is from RNAcentral.
GACGAACGCUGGCGGCGUGCUUAACACAUGCAAGUCGAACGGAAAGGCCCUGCUUUUGUGGGGUGCUCAAGUGGCGAACGGGUGAGUAACACGUGAGUAACCUGCCCUUGACUUUGGGAUAACUUCAGGAAACUGGGGCUAAUACCGGAUAGGAGCUCCUGCUGCAUGGUGGGGGUUGGAAAGUUUCGGCGGUUGGGGAUGGACUCGCGGCUUAUCAGCUUGUUGGUGGGGUAGUGGCUUACCAAGGCUUUGACGGGUAGCCGGCCUGAGAGGGUGACCGGGCACAUUGGGACUGAGAGACGGACCAGACUCCUACGGGAGGCAGCAGUGGGGAAUAUUGCACAAUGGGCGGAAGCCUGAUGCAGCAACGCCGCGUGCGGGAUGACGGCCUUCGGGUUGUAAACCGCUUUCGCCUGUGACGAAGCGUGAGUGACGGUAAUGGGUAAAGAAGCACCGGCUAACUACGUG